RNAcentral lists this ribosomal RNA (167 nucleotides) under Odontotermes redemanni. Its description in RNAcentral is "partial large subunit ribosomal RNA". The record is from RNAcentral. Lineage: Eukaryota; Metazoa; Arthropoda; Insecta; Blattodea; Termitidae.
UGACCGUGCAAAGGUAGCAUAGUCAUUAGUUCUUUAAUUGUGAUCUGGUAUGAAUGGCUUGACGAGACAUGGGCUGUCUUAAGGUGUGGAAUUUGUUGUUGAAUUUUGAGUUUGAGUUAAAAUUCUUAGAUGUUUUUAUGGGACGAGAAGACCCUAUGGUGUUGUGC